This 462-nucleotide ribosomal RNA is filed under the name uncultured bacterium. RNAcentral's name for it is "partial 16S ribosomal RNA". It matches the Rfam family "Bacterial small subunit ribosomal RNA", at positions 28 to 507 of the family's 1533-position model. The record is from RNAcentral.
GACGAACGCUGGCGGCGUGCUUAACACAUGCAAGUCGAACGGAAAGGCCCUUCGGGGUACUCGAGUGGCGAACGGGUGAGUAACACGUGGGCGAUCUGCCCUGCACUUUGGGAUAAGCCUGGGAAACUGGGUCUAAUACCGAAUAGGACCACGCGCUUCAUGGUGUGUGGUGGAAAGCUUUUGCGGUGUGGGAUGGGCCCGCGGCCUAUCAGCUUGUUGGUGGGGUAAUGGCCUACCAAGGCGACGACGGGUAGCCGGCCUGAGAGGGUGACCGGCCACACUGGGACUGAGAUACGGCCCAGACUCCUACGGGAGGCAGCAGUGGGGAAUAUUGCACAAUGGGCGCAAGCCUGAUGCAGCGACGCCGCGUGAGGGAUGACGGCCUUCGGGUUGUAAACCUCUUUCAAUAGGGACGAAGCGCAAGUGACGGUACCUAUAGAAGAAGCACCGGCCAACUACGUG